UUAAACGGUCGCGGUAUUUUGACCGUGCANAGGUAGCGCAANCACUUGUCCCUUACAUGAGGACCUGUWUGAAUGGUGAAACGAGGGCUUAACUGUCUCCCUUNUCAAGUCARUGANAUUGAUCUGCCCGUGCAGAAGCGGGCAUAACCAUACAAGACGAGAAGACCCUUUGGAGCUUAAGAGAAAAGNCUAACUACGUUAAGAAUAAACCAAUUAARCUAAGUAGAAACUAGUCUAAAAUCUAUGGUUGGGNCGACCACGGAAGAAAAUAAAGCUCCCAUGAGGACCGGACUAAUAACCURAAACCAAGNAAGACAUCUCUAAGUCUCAGAAUAUCUGACCACCACUGAUCCGGCCUAGGCCGAUCAACGAAACAAGUUACCCAAGGGAUAACAGCGCAAUCCCCUUUGAGAGUCCUUAUCGACAAGGGGGUUUACGACCUCGAUGUUGGAUCAGGACAUCCUAAUGGUG
This 471-nucleotide ribosomal RNA is filed under the name Plotosus sp. JAAG-2007. RNAcentral's name for it is "partial 16S ribosomal RNA". It matches the Rfam family "Bacterial large subunit ribosomal RNA", at positions 1923 to 2555 of the family's 2925-position model. Lineage: Eukaryota; Metazoa; Chordata; Actinopteri; Siluriformes; Plotosidae. The record is from RNAcentral.